This 404-nucleotide ribosomal RNA is filed under the name uncultured bacterium. RNAcentral's name for it is "partial 16S ribosomal RNA". It matches the Rfam family "Bacterial small subunit ribosomal RNA", at positions 355 to 776 of the family's 1533-position model. The record is from RNAcentral.
UAGGGAAUUUUGCGCAAUGGGCGAAAGCCUGACGCAGCAACGCCGCGUGAUUGAUGAAGCCCUUCGGGGUGUAAAGAUCUGUCAGUGGGGACGAAACUUGACGGUACCCACAGAGGAAGNACCGGCUAACUCCGUGCCAGCAGCCGCGGUAAUACGGAGGAUGCGAGCGUUAUCCGGAUUUAUUGGGUUUAAAGGGUGCGUAGGCGGGCCGGUAAGUCAGCGGUAAAAUAGCGGGGCUCAACCCCGUCGAGCCGUUGAAACUGCCGGUCUUGAGUGGGCGAGAAGUGCGCGGAAUGCGUGGUGUAGCGGUGAAAUGCAUAGAUAUCACGCAGAACCCCGAUUGCGAAGGCAGCGCACCGGCGCCCAACUGACGCUGAAGCACGAAAGCGUGGGGAUCGAACAGG